CUAAUUUCUAGGUGAUAGUGGUUCUAACACUCGCAGGCAUCGCUCUGUCCAACCCUGAACCUGAAGCAGGCGGAGGCUACGGCCAUGGCGGAGGAAAACAUGGCUACGGAGAACCUCUGCCAUACUACUACGGAUACCACGUGAGCGGUGACUACAAGGGACCCCACUUCCACCACGACGAGAAGUCUGACGGAAAGGCUGUUUACGGAUCCUACACCGUCGCUCUCCCCGACGGACGCAAACAACACGUGCAGUACUCGGCCGACCACUACAAAGGCUUCGUCGCCCACGUCAGCUACAAAGGGAAGGCUCAACAUCCAUCCUAUUACGGACCUGCCGUCGUUUUCGAUCAUAAAGGACAUGGAUACCAUUGAAGUCUGGAAUUGCUUUUUUCAGAAUCGUAUUUACCUCGACUCGAACAUUUUCGAUUAUAAUCUUAUCGAAUAAAACAGUUACGUCCAAAUUUCCUCAUUUCAUUUCUCUAUUUCUCUUAUAACGCAUAACCUUAUUCCCUGUCAUCC
Long non-coding RNA from Macrobrachium nipponense, 521 nucleotides. RefSeq lists it as uncharacterized. NCBI's taxonomy places the organism in Eukaryota, Metazoa, Arthropoda, Malacostraca, Decapoda, Palaemonidae. The transcript is spliced from 3 exons. The record is from RefSeq and is a predicted model, not a curated record.